RNAcentral lists this transfer RNA (106 nucleotides) under candidate division MSBL1 archaeon SCGC-AAA382A20. RNAcentral's name for it is "candidate divison MSBL1 archaeon SCGC-AAA382A20 tRNA". It matches the Rfam family "tRNA". Rfam says of the family: Transfer RNA (tRNA) molecules are approximately 80 nucleotides in length. Their secondary structure includes four short double-helical elements and three loops (D, anti-codon, and T loops). Lineage: Archaea; Methanobacteriati; Methanobacteriota. The record is from Rfam by way of RNAcentral.
GCGGGGGUGCCCGAGUUCGGUCGAAGGGGCCAGACUUAAGAUCUAUUAAAAGAUAGGGCAUCCGGUGGCCAUAGGGCCUUCGAGGGUUCGAACCCCUCCCCCCGCA